Molecule: ribosomal RNA, 482 nt
Filed under: Vibrio sp.
Lineage: Bacteria; Pseudomonadati; Pseudomonadota; Gammaproteobacteria; Vibrionales; Vibrionaceae
Description: bacterial SSU rRNA
Rfam family: Bacterial small subunit ribosomal RNA
Source: RNAcentral
CAGCCAUGCCGCGUGUGUGAAGAAGGCCUUCGGGUUGUAAAGCACUUUCAGUCGUGAGGAAGGUAGUGUAGUUAAUAGCUGCAUUAUUUGACGUUAGCGACAGAAGAAGCACCGGCUAACUCCGUGCCAGCAGCCGCGGUAAUACGGAGGGUGCGAGCGUUAAUCGGAAUUACUGGGCGUAAAGCGCAUGCAGGUGGUUUGUUAAGUCAGAUGUGAAAGCCCGGGGCUCAACCUCGGAAUAGCAUUUGAAACUGGCAGACUAGAGUACUGUAGAGGGGGGUAGAAUUUCAGGUGUAGCGGUGAAAUGCGUAGAGAUCUGAAGGAAUACCGGUGGCGAAGGCGGCCCCCUGGACAGAUACUGACACUCAGAUGCGAAAGCGUGGGGAGCAAACAGGAUUAGAUACCCUGGUAGUCCACGCCGUAAACGAUGUCUACUUGGAGGUUGUGGCCUUGAGCCGUGGCUUUCGGAGCUAACGCGUUAA